CUGUUACUGUUCACACAACAAGUUUUGGCUCAAAUUUGAAUUUUCUUAGUUUCUUAUUGUUGGUUCCUAGUUUCGUUUGUUGACUCUAAUAACUAAUCGACAAGCUAGAACUCCUCUACUAGAUUGUAAAUUAGAUUUUGAAUAUGCUUCUUCGUGUUAACGUUGUUUGUUUUGUGCUUUUCUCGUUUUUGAGUCGUAGUAUCUUUUGGUUCAAGUUUGUACAUUACUUGUUUGAGUCGUUUCAAACAAGAAUCUACUCUAACCUCGAGCCACAAUUGGGACCAAGUAACCUCAUUGGAGUAUAAACGAGUUAUCAACGCUUGUGAGACCAAUAGAGUGAAAAUGUCAAAGUGUGAAAGUGAGGAAUUGUGGACUGUUUUAAGUCGACUUUUGGACUGAAUUUUGCUAACAUUAACAUGUUAUUAUUUUUAUUAUGUUUUAGUGUUCUUAAUAGGUACUAUUACAUCGGGAAAUGUGACUAUGAGCGAUUUAAUGGCUGCCAUAAUGGGUAUGAAACAUGACCUUAGUAGUCGAAUGGAGAGAAUGGAACGAAUAAUGGACCGAGUGGAAGGAAAAAUGAAAGGGAUGGAAAUCUCUCUUUGCAAGGAGUUAGAUAACUUGAUAGAGCAACCAAGCUUUCCUAAUCAAGUUCCCGUGAGUGGACAUGCUCCACAUAAGCUACAAGGUAAUUAAACUAACUCUUGUACUCUAGUGAAUGAGGCUAGUAUCCAACUAAGUGUGGAUGAUAGUUUGCCUUUAGGUGAGCUGAAUGUGUCUCCAUUUGGUGAUGAUAAUGUACAACUUGAUAUUGUGGAAACACUAGUUGAUCCAUCUAGUGUUGAAGCCAUUGUGGCAAGUGAUAGUACAUUGUCUUAUGGAAGUCAUGAAGACCAACUUGUGUGUGAAAAUGGUGAUCUUGAACAUGUUGGCUGAUUGACUAAAGAUGAACCUCUAGUUGUUUUUGUUGUAGAUCAUGUUAGUAUAGAGGGUGUCAAUAAGUGUAAUGGUGGUAGUCUUGGGGAAAGAAAGUAUGUCCUCCACCCGUGUCCAUGGACACUCUACCCCUUUAAUCCCGGUGACCAUUUGAAAUAUUAUAUUGAUUCUUUUCAAACCAUAUUCGGGAAUGACGUGUAUGCAUUGUGUGGGCAUGGUUAUGUUGAUGCUAAGCAUGUCUUGUAUGUAUUUCAGGUUUCCUGUGAUUGGUGUGUCAUUUUUGAGAACCCGAGGGAUGUUUGGUUAUAUGUGAAAUUUGAGCCACCUUGGCAUGAUGCUAUGAUUGAUUACACUAAUCCUAACCCUCACACCUUGAGGAACUUGUGUUUGCUUGUCCUUCCUAUUAUUUUGCAAGGUUCGAAUUUGAGGACGAAUCCUUUCUAAGGAAGGGAGGAUGCUACGAGUCAACAAGGUAUCUUAGCACUCGAAGACAUGAAGACGUGAGGGAAGACCCGAGCUUGUGGGGCUGCCUAACCAAACAACAAGCUUUGAAGUUUAAAGAACAAGUCCCAACACUCCAAAGCUGUCCAAGAAGUCAAUCCCCUUUGUUUGGGCUCAUUAAGGGCCUUUUGGUCAUUUAUGUAACAAGUGUUGCCCUAGCCUAUAAAUAGAACAAUUAGGUCAUUUUGUCAUUUAGAUUUUGAUGAUAUAUUUUGAG
This 1651-nucleotide long non-coding RNA is filed under the name Capsicum annuum. RNAcentral describes it as "long non-coding RNA (CANN_LNC008434)". Lineage: Eukaryota; Viridiplantae; Streptophyta; Magnoliopsida; Solanales; Solanaceae. The record is from RNAcentral.